CAUUCCUGAGUUCUCUCUACUUCCAGCCCCAGUUGUGCUGUUUCCAUAGGGGUGCAGGACUUCAUAUUGCAGUGAAAAAUGAGCCCACAGUGAGGAAAAACGUAACUGUUUUUUUUUUUAAUUGAAAAAUUAUAAUACAGUUUUUGAACAAAAUACAGUUGCCAGGGGGAGCUCCAUAAGUAAACAGUGCAAGAAUUAAUUAUAUAUUAAAUACAUUCAGUGAUAACCAGCUUUCAUAUGUUAUAAUAGCUUUUCUAUUCAAGCUCUGUGAGAUAGUUGAUAAGUACAAUUCAACUUCCUUAGUCACAGCAGGGAAAAAUAAAGAUGAUGAUAAAAACUUACAUUUGUGACUGUGAAAUUUGCAAAAUAUAAUAAUCAAAUUAAUCGGCAGUCUUCUCUUUGCGUCCACAUUUCGUUCAUGGAAACCAAAGACUACAUGUUCAAAUUUUAACUCAAAUGUAGAGUCAAUAUUAUAUCUUAUAAAUUGUAAGCAGUCUUUCCAAAAGCACCGAGUGACUGAGCACUUCCAAAAAAGAUGACUGAUUGUUUCUGGGUGUUCUUUACACAGCGAGCAGUUAGGAUUAAUAGUUUUACAAUAAUUUAUCAUGUAUUGAUUAGUGGGGUAAAUUCUGUGCAUAACCUUAAAGCAAACAUCUUUCAUUUUAUUAUUAAUCAAAAACUUUUGGAGUACUGUCCAGUCCUUUUUCCAUAAAUUAUCAGAGACAAAGUUCCGCCAAUAGAAAAUAGAACUGGGCAGAGAUUAUAUCUUGCUGAAAAAGGGCAUGUAUUUUUCUGUUAUUUUUACAAGUAGGAGUAAGACAAGCUUUACCAAUAGUGGUGUCAGUUACAGAUAAUAAACACUUUCUUUCAUCAGUGACAGUAUUUUUGAACAGUUCGCAAAUUUCUUUAGUAACAGCAUCAAACACAGUUGCGUAUUCUUUAGGAGGUACAGCAAGGUUGUAUUUCAUAUUGAACUCAUGAUAUCUCAAUAAGUGUCCAUUUCUGUCAAAAAGUUGACCCACUAGUUGGAUAUUCUUGUCAAAAAACCAAUGAGGAUAAAAUAAUGAUUUGUUUUUGUAAAGUAUGUAUUUGUUGUUCCAUAUGUAAAAGCUGUCGCUACCCGAUCCGUCCCGGAAACCCGAUUUAUACUGCGCAUGUGCGCAAAGUACGUCACUUCCGCUACUCGCCAGUGAUUUGCGAGAGACAGCUCAACAGCAAUUCUUUGCCUCAGCCCUGAGCGAUGUAAAACGGAAAGUGACAUGGAUGCUACAGUGUACAAGCAGCUACAAACUUUUCUCCUUAACGGAGUGCUUCCUCCGACAGAAGCAGAUCGCCGUAGAGUGAGGAGGAUGGCGCCCAGUUUCACUACUAAAGGUUCGUACUACUAGCUUAAAACCCGUUGCGCUUCAGUGUCCCGCCCGCGGUACACUUUGAGAUCUGCAUAAGCAAUUUGCUAAAUGUCUGAAACUGCAAACGCGAUUAUACAAACACUAUACGCCGAUGGAAAGCUUAGAUUCUCAUGAAUCCGCCGGUAUAAACCACUUUCAGAUGUGAUUACCACAGCGGGUAAUAUAAACACAUUUGUCCGACAAACAACGAAUAUCCAUCCAUCCGUUCUCUGUACACGGCUUCAACGUACACAGCGCGACUCGCAUUUCGAGAGACAGCAGGUCCGAUUUGUGGCACUGGCAGCGAGCAGUGACACUUUUUGUGGCACCGUCGCGGUGCCACGGUUAAUGCCACUGUUUGGGCGAGAUGCCACUGCCGCAGCGGCAUUUCCAGUGGCCCCUGGAGAUGCCAGCAGAGAUGCCACUGUUUCUUUUUUUGUUUUUGCUCCUGUGUAUAUGCAUGUGUACUAAUUUCUGCCAAUACCUGUAGGAUGACUUUAGGUCCAAAGACAUCCUGCUGUUUCCAGCUUGGAGCAGGCAGGCGGGUAGAACUGACCACUAUCUGCUCUGUGUGAGUGCACUUGGUCUUUCUAACCCUGUUUUUUUUUUUUAUCUGAUAGAAAAUAGCCGAGAUUGAUGUAAUGUGUUUUCAUGGAUGAUGACAACAGCUGUCUAUUGCAGGCUAUAUUGGUAGCUGAGAGACAGAUACUCUUUCUGGACUCACUUCGCCCCGAUGGUUUUGGAGAUGAUCUCUACCGAAUCGUGUUUAGGUUGACACUAAAGAAAUGAAAAAUUGUUCUGGCCUUGUUCAAUGGCCAAGUGGGUAAGCUGUUUUAGAAUGUACCACCAAAAUACCAAUGCCAGUGCCCAAUUUUUGAUUUAGGUUAUAUUGUAUUUGUCUUAAGGGGGAAAUGCCAGCAAUUCGACUGUGGUGGUGCAUUCAGCUGAUGGAGAGAUUCUGCACAGAAGGGCAUGGACAUAGAUUUGCCUUCUGGACAGAAGAAGCAUCCCUUCUCCUCCAGGGACCUCUCCAGCCUAUCUUCAGGGUGCCGAAGGCAACCUCUUCCAAGCCUUUGCCAAGUCCAAUGGAACAGGUGGAAGAGGACAACAAUGAGGCUGAGGCUGACAGGUGCUUCUUGUUGGAGGUAAUGUUUUUAAUUUCCUUUUUCUUUAAACACAUAACUGGACAUAACUGAAUUAGUAAGUACAAUCACAGGCAGCUCCAUCAGGGCAGAAAGAGGCAUUAUUGUGUAGUGAGUGAAGUAAUUGUUAUGAAAAACAUUAUUCAGUAUAUUUUGCAUUUUCAGUGUGUACAUUUCUGCAACUUAAUGUACAAAUUUUGUAUCAUCAUCGUCGGCUCAUCUACAUUUUACAGUUGCCAACAUGUGUCCUUGUGGACAUAUUGCAAGAAGUUGUCCUCAGUGAAGGUGAUGCCGCAAUCUGCAGACUGGCUCUGGUGUGCUCCACUUUCAGAGACCUUGUGUCUACUGAAUAUUUCAGGAGGCAAGCACACUUUAAGUGGCUUCACAGUGUUUGCACAUGGAGCAGAUUCUCUGCAAACUACAGAAAGGAGUACUGUAGAAUGUACACAUUGCGAUCUGCCAAGAAUGUGGAGAGCAAUAUAAAGACAUGCCACGAGGAUAUGUUGGCAGAGGGAAAAGAGGAGAGGUGCGAGCCUUUUAUUCAGAGGAGAGGCACCCAGGCUACUGCAGCCACUUUUGCAGCCAAAUGUGCUGAAAUCAAUCAGUCACUUAGUUCUGUGCUAUUUGUGGUUUACAGAAUUUUUUUUUUGGAUUUUUGGACUUGUGAUUGUGUAAACCUGUAUAAGGUUUACACCUUAUGCAGGUGUUUAAUGUGCUGAGAAAAGAAUGACGACGUCGUCUCGUUUGUCUUCUGGAAACUUCAACAGUUCAUUACUGACGUGUUUUACAAAACACUUGACCAGCAGAGGGUGUGCCGGCCAGCGGUCGAUGACGCUGCAUCGUAUCUUCGGCCUGUCGGCUCUGUUGCUAUAGUAACGGUAGAUGGCGUUCAGGCUGCUAAAUAGCUGAAUGGCUGAUAUCAAUCAGUGUUAACAUGAGAUAAAAUAAACAUAUAUUAAAAAGAGGCUGGUAACACACAAUCACAUACAUGACAACACACACAAAAGAAGUCAUACCAACCAUUAGAAGUACAAAAUGAAGCUCAUGUCAGUGUGUACGUAACUAGUCGUAGAGACCUAUUACAGAAAAUCAGUCGUCGCAGCUCCGGUUGUACAAGCCCACCUCAGUGCUGUCCUUCACACUAGAUCCCACUUGAUCCCACUUGAUCCACACUACAACUGAUGUAACAAUGCCUUUUCUUUUAGUUACCUUUCACCUCUGUUGCCUGUUUUAAUUUAUUUUCCAUUUUAUAAGGGGUUGUUUAUCUUGUCAUUUUUGCGUUAUGUUUCACAGACAAUGGAAGAAUGUAGAGAUGUAGAUUCAUGUUUUUAACAUAGAUGUGGAUUCAUGUAUUUAAAAAAAUUUACGAAAACAAAAGAAAUACUAGCAUCUCUUUCCACUGACAGGGCCCUCUGGUGUGUGUGUGUGUGUGUGUGUGUGUGUGUGUGUGUGUGUGUGUGUGUGUGUGUGUGUGUGUGUGUGUGUGUGUGUGUGUGUGUGUGUGUGUUUUUAUUUAUUUAUGGCCCUAAAAAGCGACUCCUUCCCUGCUGCUUGGUUUCUUUCCUCAGCGCCACGGCACCAGCUCCUCGGAUUUCAGCAUCCAUUGUUUAUUUCUUUUCAUGUUUUGUACAUUAAUAAAUCCCCUUUUAUUUUUGCAAUUAA
Acanthochromis polyacanthus (spiny chromis) is the source of this 4192-nucleotide long non-coding RNA. RefSeq lists it as uncharacterized. The record is from RefSeq and is a predicted model, not a curated record. NCBI's taxonomy places the organism in Eukaryota, Metazoa, Chordata, Actinopteri, Pomacentridae. The transcript has 5 exons.